RNAcentral lists this transfer RNA (74 nucleotides) under Ipomoea nil (Japanese morning glory). It matches the Rfam family "tRNA". From Rfam's summary of the family: Transfer RNA (tRNA) molecules are approximately 80 nucleotides in length. Their secondary structure includes four short double-helical elements and three loops (D, anti-codon, and T loops). Further hydrogen bonds mediate the characteristic L-shaped molecular structure. tRNAs have two regions of fundamental functional importance: the anti-codon, which is responsible for specific mRNA codon recognition, and the 3' end, to which the tRNAs corresponding amino acid is attached (by aminoacyl-tRNA synthetases). tRNAs cope with the degeneracy of the genetic code in two manners: having more than one tRNA (with a specific anti-codon) for a particular amino acid; and 'wobble' base-pairing, i.e. permitting non-standard base-pairing at the 3rd anti-codon position. Lineage: Eukaryota; Viridiplantae; Streptophyta; Magnoliopsida; Solanales; Convolvulaceae. The record is from Rfam by way of RNAcentral.
GUUGGAGUAGCUCAGUUGGUUAGAGCGUGUGGCUGUUAACCACAAGGUUGAAGGUUCAAGUCCUUCCUCUAGCG